Molecule: ribosomal RNA, 293 nt
Filed under: uncultured bacterium
Lineage: Bacteria
Description: partial 16S ribosomal RNA
Rfam family: Bacterial small subunit ribosomal RNA
Source: RNAcentral
GUCCUACGGGACGCAGCAGUAGGGAAUCUUCCACAAUGGGCGAAAGCCUGAUGGAGCAACGCCGCGUGGGUGAAGAAGGUCUUCGGAUCGUAAAACCCUGUUGUUAGAGAAGAAAGUGCGUGAGAGUAACUGUUCACGUUUCGACGGUAUCUAACCAGAAAGCCACGGCUAACUACGUGCCAGCAGCCGCGGUAAUACGUAGGUGGCAAGCGUUAUCCGGAUUUAUUGGGCGUAAAGGGAACGCAGGCGGCCUUUUAAGUCUGAUGUGACAUCCUUCGCCUUAACCGGAGUGG